Molecule: non-coding RNA, 11299 nt
Organism: Meleagris gallopavo (turkey)
Lineage: Eukaryota; Metazoa; Chordata; Aves; Galliformes; Phasianidae
Source: RefSeq, a predicted model, not a curated record
GUAUUGUCAAGCACUGCAGAAAUAAUUUAAAAAGCAAAUGCAAAGGUUAUACAAAUAUAAAGUACAUCUAAUCACUAUAAAUACAGAUGCUAAUAGUUGUCUAUCUCUGUACCUACAUUAAUAGAAAAACAGCCUUUCUAUGUUUGGUUAUGUAUGAAGGAAAUGUUUUUGUUUUUUUUUUUCUGGCCUUGGAAAUUGACUACUAAUGACAAACUAUGCAAACAGAUCAUCACACACUGGGAACUUUAAGAUACAAAGAGAGAAAGCAUCGAACGGUUGGAGUGAGGCAGUGACCUAAUCAUGUUGGCAGUCUAAAUGUCAGUUUUCCUUAGGCAAAGUAUCUCCUUUAAGAAAAACUAAAGGGAUGUUUCAUGGAGGUUUUACAAAGAGUGUUUCUGAUUUUUAACUGUAGAUCUGCAGAAUGCUUUGAAUGGGAACCAUUUGGGAGCUUAAGCGACAGCAGUGGUGUCAUUGACUAAAUGGUUAUGGGGCAGAGCUUUUCUUAUCGCUUCUUUUAGACCUGGAGGGCUCUGAAGGGUGAGGGCAAGAAUUGUAAGUCUGAUGUAAAGAAGCAAGAAUUGUCAUAAAAUCAUAGUGUAUCCUGAGUUGGAAGGUGCCCACAAGGAUCACGAGUCCAACCCUGGCUCUACACCAGAUCACCCAGAAUUCAAACCCUGUGUCUGAGAGAGCUGUCCAAACUCUUGUUGAACAACAGCUUGUGGCUGUGCCCACUGCCCUGGGGAGCCUGUUCUGUGCCCUGUGGUCAAGAACCUUACCUGACCCUCCCCUGAUGCAGCUCCAUGCUGAGCAGGACAUCCCCUGCCCUCACCCAAUGUGCAGUGCUGGGCCAGGUGCCCCCAGGGUACGGUUGGGCUUUUAGCCCUGGCAGCCAAAUUAGGCUGUAAUUAGAAGUCACACUGAUUACAAAGGAAGGAUGUCUUCAAGUGCAUGAGGUUAUGCACUGAUACGAAUCUUAGCUUAACUUCUGUCACAUCAGGUAAACAAGGGAAGAACCCAAUUUUAAUUAGCCUGUAUUUUAGGAUGUAGUUGAGUGUGACAUUUGGAAAUGUCAGAGACAACAAGUCGCACCAUUUUUUCUUAAAGUCUAUGGAAAUUAGUUGUCCUCGGGCCAAAAUUAAGAUUCUGCUCUUUACUUUAAGAGCUAUGCUUCCUAAGCAAGGGCAUCAGCACAACUCCUGAAAAAAAUCAGUGCUCCUAGCUGUCAUCCCAGCUAUAAUACAAUACAAUAUAAUGGCCAGUGUACAGCUGAGUAGUUGUUGAGUGUUAUUGGUGGUUGUGUGGUGUUUUAAUACAAACAGUAAAGACAAAUUUGAGAAAAAUGUUACUGCUUGGUUAUUGAGCAGCAAAUUCAGAAGUUGCUCCUCCACGUGUGCACUUGUGAGGAGAUGGAGGGUUAAUUCAAUGAGGCAUUCCAAGCUAUACUGUCUCUGCUUAUGUCUACUAGAAGUUUUAGACUGGUUGCUUUCUUCUAAGUUGAAUUGAUGCUUUGUUGGCAACAGCUGCAGUGGGAUUGAGAUGGUGGUUACUGUGGAGGUUGCAGGUUGUUCUUGUGUGCCGCAGGUACUCUGCCUGCUGAUGUAAAGCCAGAAAAAGGUUGUAUCCUCAUCAUCAGCCUAACUUCAUAAGUCAGGCCUGAUGUACCUCAGUCUUAAGAAGUUAUCAUCUUUAAAAAACAAAAUCUCCAGAAGGAGAUAUUAGCAUUUAUCAAUUUUAAAUGGCCUUGGCUUUGUUUAGGGGCUUGUCUCAUCAAGAAAGUUCAAAAAUAAUGCAGCCAUUAAAAUUGGAGAAGACUUCUGAGAUCACUGAGUUGCACAGUCAGCCCAUCCUCACCAUGUCCCUCAGUGCCACAUCCACGUGUUCUUGAAUACCCCCAGGGAUGAUGACUUAACCACCUCCCUGAGCAGCCUGUGCCAGUGCCUGGCUACUGUUGCAGAGAAGAAACUUCCUAAUAUCCAACCCUUAUCUCCCUUGGCACAACCUGAAGCCGUUGCCUUGUGUCCCAUCUCUAGUUGACUGGGAGAUGAGGCUGAACUCAGUAUAUACAGGGAAACUGAUAUGAACUCCCAUCACCCUUCCAAAGAGUUCUUUACAGCAAAGGCAUCUUUCAAGUAUACAGUUAACCACUUCAAGCUUUAAAAACAGUCUGUAAUACUAAUGGUAGUUUCUCUCAUGAGUAUAUAUCAACCUAAAUAUACAUACCUCAAUAAUAAAACUUGUUUAUUAGAGUAUGUGGAUGUGGUCAUUUAACACCAGUAAGUAGGUAAGCACCAUCAUUCUACUCUCACGCUUCUCUUCCUCAGAAGGAUGGGGAGAAAAUGUGAAAAAAUUUCAUGUGUUAAGGUGAGGACAGGGACGUCAGUGACCAGUUACUGUCACCAGCAAAACAGAUUAGAAAAGUGAAAACUGAAAGCCAACUGGAAACACCACCUCCCCUACCUCUUCUACUUCCCCGCCCUGUCAGUGGCAUAGGGGAACUGGGAAUGGGGCUGCAGUCAGUCUACAAUGCUUUGUCUCUGCUGCUCCUCCACAUGGGGUCCCUCCAUCCUUCCCAAACUGAUCCUGUGUGGCCUUCUUGCACGCUGCAGCUGUCUGAGCACUGCCCUGGCACAGCUCUGUACCACAGGGCCCACCCUUCAGGCACUGCCCCACAUGGGUCACCAUCAGCAGCAGCUUCCCCCAGCCCUCCUGCCCCACCGCAAGCUUCUCCCCGUGGGCUACAGCUUCAUCCAGGGGCUGCUCCUGCUGGGGCUCCCCAUGUGCUGUGGCUCCUCCAGGUCUCAUCUGCUGCUGCACCGUGGGCUCCUCCAAGGCUGCGUGUGGAGGUCUGCUCUGUGUGGAACCUGUGGGCUGCAAGAGGAUGCCUGGCUCCUCCAUGGGCCUCUCCUGUGCUGCAGGGAGCUGCUUCUCCAUGCCUGGAGCACAUCCUGUCCUCCUUCUGCGCUGACCUUGAUGGCUGCAGGGCUGCUUCUCUCGCAUUUUCUCACUCCUGUCUCCCAGCUGCUGUGAUGCAGCAGUUUUUCCCUUCCUUAUAUCUGCGUAGCUCUUAGCUCGUCUCUGCCAUCUGUGGGACCCUUUUGGGGCAUCUGGAGUUGGCUCUGAUCUGACAUGGAGCAGCUGCUGGGCUCUGCUUAUGGAGCCCAUCCCCGGUACAGCAAAGAGCUUUGCUUGUAAGCUCGUGGAGCACAUUAGCCAUGAAAGCACAGUUUUUGCACAGUGUUACAGCUUCCCUGGACUUGCUGCUGAGCCUUGGGAUCAUCAGAAAACUCAGUAUAAACAGAGUGAUCUGACCAUCCAGUUUGAGCAAACCGGUUGUGGCUUUGGAGUCUGAUAAACUUUCCUGUUAACAUUCAGAUCCGUUUCUCUCUCCAGAAGAGAAUGUUUCAGAAGAGAGUCAGCUUUCCUGUAUUUCUCAAGCCAGAUGUUAGCAGGUGAAUAGUACUUAAGCUGGGCUACAGAAGUGCAUAAUAUACUAAUGUGUACUAGGAAGAGCCUGGGGAAUGUAGCAAAGACCUCAAGUUCUUUGCCAAGUGAAUCAUGUAUAUAAUUUUAAAUAAUUUCAGCACUUUGGAUUUUUUGUCCUUGUGAAAUUCCAGACUCCAGUUUAUGGAAGAACUCCAGUGUUUGGAUUGUUUGGGAGUCUGCCCUGGAAUUGCUUCAGCAAACUUUAUGGAAGUAAAUGAAGGAAGCAAUCAUUAUUGAAAAGUUCAUCCAUAAGAUUCCAAAAUAAGUGUGUCUAAACUCCAAGGCUCACCUCACAACAGUUUAUAGAACUGUGGGAAUGCAUGGGAGACUUCAGAUGGCCUAAGUGGACGUAAAUUCUGUGGCUGUGGAAAGGGGUGAUCCUACAGUUCCAAGCCACCACUGGUGCAGCAGUAGCGUUUUUAUGGAAAUUCUGGUGAUUAACAGUCAUGGCAACCAUAGAGGAACUGGCCCAUCAAAUUAUUGAGCAGCAAAUGGGAGAGAUUACCCAUUCCCAGGGAGCUGUUACACAAACACUAAUGGAUGGGGCAGCACAACGAAUACAGAUCGUCCCUUCAGAUUCAGGCCUCUCUUUACCACAGCGUAUACAGAUUGUCACAGAUCAGCAGACGGGCCAGAAGAUUCAGAUUGUUACAGCACUUGAUCAGAGCUCAGCAGGCAAGCAGUUCAUCCUAACAAAUCAUGAUGGCUCUACCCCAAGCAAGGUGAUCCUUGCCAGACAAGAUUCCACUCCAGGAAAAGUUAUCCUAGCAACUCCAGAUGCUGCAGGUGUCAACCAACUGUUUUUUGCAUCCCCUGAUAUAUCUGCACAACACAUCCAGAUUUUAACAGACAACUCUCCCAAUGAGCAGGCCCUAAAUAAAGUGUUUGAUCUGUGUGUUGUGUGUGGAGACAAAGCAUCAGGACGUCACUAUGGAGCAGUAACUUGUGAGGGUUGCAAAGGAUUCUUUAAAAGGAGUAUACGGAAGAAUUUGGUGUAUUCGUGCCGAGGAACAAAGGACUGUGUCAUUAACAAACACCACCGGAAUCGCUGUCAGUACUGCCGGCUGCAGCGAUGCAUCGCCUUCGGAAUGAAACAAGACUCUGUGCAGUGUGAGAGGAAACCUAUUGAAGUGUCAAGAGAAAAGUCUUCAAACUGUGCAGCUUCUACAGAAAAGAUCUACAUUCGGAAAGAUCUUCGCAGCCCAUUGGCUGCAACUCCAACUUUUGUAACAGACAAUGAAACAGCAAGGUCAACAGGUCUGUUGGAAUCAGGAAUGUUCGUUAACAUUCAGUCUGGAAUUAAAAGCGAGCCUACAGUGCUGAUGACUCCAGAUAAGGUCGAAGCUUGUCAGGGAGACUUAAGUACCCUGGCAAAUGUGGUGACAUCUUUAGCAAACCUCAGUAAAUCCAAAGAUCUGUCACAAAGCAGUACAGAGCUGUCUAUGAUUGAGAGUUUAAGUAAUGGAGAUGGAUCCUUACCUGAACUUCAGCAAGAAGAACAAGGAAGUAGUGAUGUUACAAGGGCAUUUGAUACUCUUGCAAAAGCAUUAAAUCCUGCAGAGAGUGCAGCGUGCCAGAACUCUGAAAGUGUUGAGGCCAACGUGCAGCUUGGUGGUGGAGAAACAAGCAUGAAUAUCGUUGAAAUAGAGGGGCCGCUACUCAGUGAUGCACAUGUAGCAUUCAGGCUCACCAUGCCUUCUCCUAUGCCCGAAUAUCUUAACGUUCACUAUAUCUGUGAGACUGCCUCCAGGUUGCUUUUCCUGUCCAUGCACUGGGCACGUUCCAUUCCAUCUUUCCAAGCUUUAGGACAGGAUAACAGCAUAUCAUUAGUAAAAGCCUGCUGGAACGAACUUUUUACGCUUGGUCUUGCACAGUGCUCUCAGGUCAUGAAUGUGGCGACUAUAUUGGCUGCGUUUGUUAAUCACCUUCACGACAGCUUACAGCAAGAUAAGCUGCCAACAGACAGAGGAAAGCUAGUAAUGGAACACAUCUUCAAACUGCAAGAGUUCUGUAACAGUAUGGUGAAGCUUUGCCUAGAUGGAUAUGAAUAUGCAUAUUUGAAAGCAAUUGUACUCUUCAGUCCUGAUCACCCAGGGCUGGAAAAUGUGGUACAGAUUGAGAAAUUUCAAGAAAAGGCGUACAUGGAGUUCCAAGAUUAUGUAACAAAAGCAUAUCCAGAUGAUACUUACAGACUGUCUCGACUUCUUCUCCGAUUGCCUGCCCUGAGGCUGAUGAGUGCUGCCAUUACUGAAGAGCUGUUCUUUGCAGGACUAAUUGGAAACGUUCAGAUUGAUAGCAUCAUCCCAUACAUUCUGCGAAUGGAAACGGCAGACUACAACACUCAAAUAAUCGGUCAUGCUGUAUAAAAGUAGCAAUCAAGGAUUCUGUACCAUGGCAGACAUGGUUGAUGUAAAUGAAUACUCUGUCUCCAAGAGAUGGCAAUAGGCCUUCCCACGCACCUUUCUAAAGAAGACUCGUGUUCUUCCUUUCCAGUACACUUGGGAAAUGCGGUGGAGUGUCUUAAGGAAUAUAGGAUCGCUUCCUAUUUUUCAUCUGAUCUUCAAGGACUUGUAAAUUAACUUGAUAUCUGAGGAAAGUCAAGAAUUGUCCAUCCUAUUUUUGUAGAUAGAUGAACUUGGAAUAUUUGUUUAUGAAAUCCAGGCUUGUGAAGAAACGGAAGAAGCUUUGACUGAACUAAGAGUUGGAUCUUCCACUGCCAACUUCUAAUCAGAGGCUGUACUACAGGAUUGCUCAUACACAGAUCCAGAGAUGGAAACGCUUAGUGCUGAGGACCUCUGAUGGGAUGGAACCAUUCUCCCCUGCUCUGAAUUUGGCAUGUAGCGGCUUUCUGGAGAACAGCCUUUAAAGAUGCUGGAGCUUCCUACGUGCCCGAGCCCUUCCCACAGUCCAUGUGUCUAAAGGAGAAGGAUUGAGGCUCUGCAUUUGUGUUCCCUGGAGUUCAUGAAGUGUGCAGACUUUUUUUCUGUCUCAAGAGGGCAGUAGUUAAGGAAAUAUGAAAGACAACGGCUGCCAAUAUACUGUGCUUGUCACUUCCCUGUGGUUAUAGGCCCCGCCAUCUUGCCGUCUGUAGUUCCAAAUUGUGGAUGGGAAGUGAAUUGUUCUAUUCAUGUUUCCUCUGAAAUUUGGACCCUGUCUUCCAGCUCUUCUCUGUUUCUAGCAGGAAUAGUUAUAGUUGUGUUAAACCUUUCAAGGAAGUUGCCAGGAGGUUACUCCUGAAUAAUUUGUAAGUGGCUUACCAGGCAUUCCACAUAUUGGAAGAAUUUGAUUCCCAAUAUUCUCCAAAUUCAGAUAACCCAUUUUCCUUCUAAGAGCAGUAGAAACUGCAAAUCUCUCCCACACCCUUGCAGAUUUGUAUUUUUUUAGCUUUCUGCCCCAGGCAUGACAAACUGUUCUUUGUUUACAGCUGGCCAGAAGAUUCAGCAAAUGUGGUUUUUGCAUGGUAUUGUAUAGCUGCAGAAACAGCUGAGAAAAUACCAAUGUUUGUAGAGAGGUAAAUCUUUAGGGAUUGAAUCCUUCAGCAUAUCUGUCUUGGACAGCCGUGUUUUGAAGGAUGUGGCCAUAGAAGCUUAUUCUCUCUGAAAUUCUGCGCUGUUCUCCCUCCACACCGUAGUCUGAAUACAAGUUGGCCUACUUCAGGGAAGUGUGAACUGCUGUCACUGCUGACUGCUGGAUCUGCAGUUAGGCUGUGUUAACUCAGAAGCACAAGAACCGCAGUCACAUUCUUUUUGGAUACCUGUCACCUCUGCAUGGCAGCAGAAGUUUCAAAUCUCAAUGGCUGACUUUUCCCCUUCCCACAUCUCUUACUGUUAACUUUCCUGGCAAAAUCCUUUGAGCUUGAUCUGAGAUUUUUGCCAGAUCACAUAAAUCAAGAAUUCAACCCAUCCAUGUUUUUUUUUUAAAAUCCAGUGUUUCCAGAUGUGAGACUACGCGUUCUGUGUUGGGUAGCAAGAGACAGUGUCACACCCUUUCACGUGACAAAAACUUGCAGAUAUCAUACAAUCUAGUUUUCCCAGUCAGGUGAGAAGUCAAACAGGACACCCAUCUCCAAGCUCAGUUACAGAUUCUAUUACCUCUUUUGAGAGCAGUAUAGUCGAGUCACCAUCAGUAAUCAGGAUAUACUCUAGUAGUUCCCAGGCUGCGUUUGGGGCUUUGCUCAAUAUCUGUAUAGUAUUAUUACAAAAUGGAAACCUAGUUCAAGAGAUCUCCAAAUUGCCAAGAAGUGGCAUACACUUUUUAUGUAUUGUCUGGCUAUGUGCAUACUCAUGCAAAAAGAAAAGGUGUUUAUCUCAAAAAGAUUCCAGUUACUUCUGCUGUCCAUCUGUGCGAUAACCAUAUGCCCCCUUUCCCCCUUUCUGUUGGUGGCUAACCAAAUGUAAGUUCCAUACUGACUGUCAGGUGAAACAAAAGAGGGAGGCAGAUGCAUGAACACCUGAGGUAUUGUAAGGGCCUCCGCAAACAACCAUAAUCUUGGAUACCUCCAAUGUUUGGACUUCUAUAAAGUGAAUGUGCAGAUAUGCAAAACACUGCAAAAAGUGCUGCCUACUGGUAAGUAACCUUUUUCCCAAUGUUUGUUACAUUUUUUCCUCAUAAAUGUUCAGUGUAAGUUCAGUACCAGGUUAAAGGCAGAGUGCGUGCUGGUCUGUGCUGCCUGGCGAGUAUUCUCUCCUGUCUUGAUGAUCAGGAAGGUGGAUCCCAUAGUACAGGUGGUUGCAUUUGCAUUAUUCACUUUUCUUACCAAGACUUUUCAUUUAUCAUUUUGAGUUCUUUAACUGUACAUUCAUGCUCUUGAUGAGGAGUGAGGCACAACUGGGCUUUCUCAGGAAUGGGCUGCCCUUCAUGCUAUUCAGUCACACUGUUGUUCAACACAAAUGCGAGCAGUAAGGCUCACUUCACAGUGGAUGUUAAAGUAACUCAUUAUUUUUGUGACCUUUUCUCCUUCAUGUUUUUUUUUUUAACCUUCUGAUCUUCAGCAUUCUGAAACUUUCCAUACCUCGUCAGAAUACAACUAAACUGCAGCACUUACCACUAAUAAUUUGCUUUGCCAAUGAAUGAACAAGCUCUGUUAUGACAGCUUUAAAAUGUUCAAUGUUAUGAAAAUUCAUUUCUGUAUCAAACACAUGAACGGAAGAAAUGAUACAUUUGGAAUCUUGUCCCUGGAAGUGUAUGUUGUGCAUAUAUAUAUGAGUUCUGGGGGCUUGUUUCGUACUGGUAGAGUUCCUGAUACAAACGACUGUUCUACUUUAAACUUGCUUCAAAAGCACUUUCAUUGUGUGUACCUUCUGCACUUAUAACCUGUUGGUACCUCUCUUCUGUGACCAUUGGCUUCAGUGAAAGUCACUGCUCUGUUACUCUGUUCAGCAGCUGUGGUUUCCCAUUACAGGCAUUAGAACGUCGCUGUACCUGUUCUGCUGUGGUAUAAAAAAUUCAUUGUAAAUGUCUUGAAACCUGAAUUUGUAAAGUCUAUUUUGGCUGUAUUUUUAAAAAUAAAUUGUAACUUUCUAUUAGAGAAAGCAAUAGUAAUCACCUAUGUGUUAGUGUUCUACACAGGUUGUCUUACAGCCCUGAAGCAGUGUGUAUGAUUCCAAAGAGUCCGUGGAUGUCACUUUACUGUACAAUGUUGUGUUGUCAGUAGAUUCAUUCUCUGGGAUUUGUGAUCACUGCAGUAUCGUGCUGUUCUCUACCCUGUUGCUAGGAACUCUUUGUGCUUACUGCUCCUUUCUGCCCUGGGAAUUUGGCUAUUUGAAAAUUAGUGAUUUAUUAUAGAAUGUAAUUUACCAAUGUAUUUUUUUAUUUUAAAGCACUACAUGCAGACGUUGAUAUAAUGAAUUCUGAUCACAGAUCUUCAUGCCAAGUAAAACAAUAGUUAUUUUUGGAGAAGUUUAUUCAAUUCAUUAUGGAUUGUGAAAUGAUGACAAGUUUGGGUCCUUUCUAGAACUGAUUUCCCAGUGCCAAUUGAAGAGUUGUCUUUUUUUUUUAGUCUUCAAUUACAAAUGAUUGUGAUGUUUGCAUGAAUAUGCAGAUAGCAAGAACAAAUGAGAAAUGAGCUACCAUUCUCUCCGUGCCUAGAUUCUGAAAUGCAUUCAUCCUGAAGUAAAUGAAGUACUGUGGAGUAGAUGAUGCACUGUAGAGGAAAGCCUUGUAUGAUGAGAGAGAAAGUUUGGGUAAUGCUGAUGAGAGAAUAAGCAGUCAGACUCUCUUCCCCCUCCGUUAGCAGAUACUCCAGUUGCUUUGUUGCUUUUGUUUUAAAAGCUUACCCUUCUCUGCAUUUCCACAGAGACCUGUUCUCUGGUCAGACUGCUAAUCUACUACCUGCUCCUUCCCAUACCAGUAACAUUUCACUGCCUUUUGGUCAUCUCUGAAGGAAAAAAUGAAGAGCUCUCUAGAAAGAAGUGCUCUUCUGGUAAAUAACGAAAGUCUAGAAACUCUCCAACGGGUUACUCAGCAGCAUCUUCAACCAACAUCUCUAACAGUCUUGUCUUUUGUCCUCAUGCUUCUGUAUAAAAUAACCCCAAAUAACGUUUCUACUUCAUCAUAUGAGCCCUUCUCUCCUGAGCUCUGCUUUUCCUUUGUUCAUGUGCACAAAGUCACAUUAACCCAUGCCUGUAAGCAGCCCUUUCAGCCACUUCAGUCUUCCUUUUAUCCUCAGCUCUGCAGUAUGAAGUGCUAUCCUCACCCUGAUGUGCUACUGCUAAUGUGUAACACAAUUUUCUGCUACAUUAAUCUUUUAUCAGAACUCGGGGUUGUGCAUUUUGGCUCCAGUGUAGGAACCAAAUGUAUCCUGAGUCAUGGCAAUGGAGCUGACCUCUGUUCAAAGCAGUCACUCCUGGACGCAUGGGAUUUUUGUGGCUGCUGAUGCUGAACACAUACAUAAGCUCCACUAUGGAGACCUCAACCCUGCUUCAUCUUUGGGUCUUACCAGAGAGCAAGCUGAACAGCCACAUACUUCGGUUUAUGAUGGCUCUCAUGAAAGUUUUUCUUUCACACUGUAACCAGUGGAAUUUUGCUAUUGGGAAAUGAAAGGUAGAGGCAGCUGCUGCGUGAGAUGGCCCAGGCACUUCCCAAGAAGUGGCAUAAGUCUUCUAAAAGUGCCAGCAUUGUUGGUUUUGAGUGUUUUAGUAUUGUCACAGAAGUAUAUACACACUAGAAUGUUCGUGGGGUUUUUUGAAAAUUACAGAAUACCUCUUCUCUUCAGUAAGAUUGCACCUUUAGCCUUGGUUCCAGACCGUGAAUCAAUCUCUUUUAAAGCAGCCGAAGACAAGUGAAAAACCUUUUUUGAUUGUGCUUUUGGGAAAUGUGGACUAUAGGAGGGCUACAAAUCCAAGAGGAAAAGCAUUAGAGAUUGCACUGUUCAGACCAGAGUGAGAGAAACUAUGGUUAGAGGCUGGGCCCACAAAAUGUAAAGAACGGUGAUGUGAAUUUGACAAUGCUUCUGAGACUCAGAAAUUUUAGAAGGAUGGGGCAGAUUUUCAAAAUCUACAUAGCUGGGUCUGUUGUGUAUUGGAUUUAUUAUUUUAAUUGCAAGAGGAAUUCCAAUUAAUUAUGCAAAUGUAUAUUCCUUAGUUGUGAAAUCAUUGCAGCAUAAACUCAUAUGACUUCUCAUACAAAGAACAGAAGGAAUUGCAGUGGAAUAGAUAAACAAUUAAAAUAUAUAUAUUGUAAGGUAAAAUGUAAAUAUUGAAUUGCUUUGUGGGUUGGUUUUUUACACUUUCUGUGAAAUACUUGAACUUAGGUUUCUCAAAAUCAAUUUAUCACUGAAUAAAGCUCUUAAAAAAAUAAAACAUAGGAUUCAAUGAGA